UGAUUGUUGAUUGUCGUUUUC
Non-coding RNA from Caenorhabditis elegans, 21 nucleotides. The record is from Ensembl. NCBI's taxonomy places the organism in Eukaryota, Metazoa, Nematoda, Chromadorea, Rhabditida, Rhabditidae.